UGUACAGAAUAAUACAAGUUAAUUUAAAGUAUAUUAUUGUUUAUUUUAUUUGAAUUAUUAUUAUUAUUUAUUUAUUCUUUUUGCCAACCCCCAUAAUCCCAUGCCCAAACAUAAUGCAACGCGUGACAUCGCGCUAUUGCGCCAUUUUUGCGAUUACUUGGCGGUCUUUUUUUGAAUCGGCAUCAAUUUAUCAGGCGGCCUGCAGUGCACUUACAGCUCGAACUGUGAAGCCAUAUUAUUGUAAGGUUGAUGACAAAUGAGGUCAUGGCCUGUUUCAGUAUGAAGUGGGGGAAGGGGAAGCUUGCCUUCACCAAGAUCAAUCUGUACACUGUUGUCACAGAGAGUGUCCAGAAAACAUCAAAAGAGACGGGGCAAAUAUUGCAGCGGCCACCGCCUUUUGUUUAAAAUAUGCCCCAGCAGAGCCGUCGCAAGGAGGGUGAGAGGCCCUGUGCAAAGUUGACAUGCGAGGCCCUCUACAAUUUUGCGUGUGUGUGUGUGUGUGUGUGUGUGUGGUGGGGGAGGUUGCUGUAGUAAGGCAAGGCAAGUUUAUUUAUAUAGCAGAUUUCGUACACAAUGGUAAUUCAAAGUGCUUUACAUAAAAAAAAAGUAAAAUAAUCAUGAAGAACAAAACUAAAACAAGCAAUUUUAAAACUUUGGAAAUGAUUUAAAAAUUGACUUGAAUUUAAAACAGUUAGAAAUAGAAAAUGAUUUUUACAUAAAAAUACAGUGAAUACGUAAAAUACAGUGCAAUCAGGUCGGACAUCGCACAGUGCUCAUUAAAUAAAUGCACAGCUAAACAGAUGAGUUUUUGAGUCUAGAUUUAAAUGUGACUAGUGUUUUAGCACAUCUGAUCUCUUCUGGAAGCUGAUUCUGGAAGCAAUGUAUUUUGGUCCUAGGUCACUGAGUGACUUCUAGACGAGUAAAAGUACUUUAAAAUCAAUCCUAAAUGUAACUGGAAGCCAGUGUAAGGACCUGAGGACUGAUGUGAUGUGCUCAGAUGUUCUGGUUCUAGUCAGAAUCCUGGCAGCAGCGUUCUGGAUGAGCUGCAUCAUUUUUGAAAAAAGAUGUGGGAAGUGUGUCAAGAUAGCAAGUUGACGAUUUUAGUUGCUGCACUAUGUCUUCCAAAAUGUUGCUAUCAAUUGCUUCAGAAUAGACAGUAUCUUUUUGAUAUUGCAGCCGAAUCUGUCUGACCUCUGCAUUGCUUGAGGAUGUGCUAAUCGCCUUCCUGAUAUUGAUGAUCUUCUCAGAAAAGAAGGAAGCAAACUCAUUGCAUUUGCAGUCUGACAGCAUUUCACUGGGAAUCUGACUCUGGGAAACUGAUUUCUGUCUGUUUGUUUUUCUUACUGACUAUUAUUGGAGCAAUAUCAUUAAUACCAUUCUUAACUUUUGAGUUAAAGGAAUCAAGGAGAAUAUCAACAGAGUCCGCAAAAAUACUUAGUGUUAAAGAUAUAGCCUCCAUAAAUAGUACACUAGUGUUCUCGUUAGGUCUGCACUAUUAAUCGCAUGCAAUUGUCAUGCGCGUCUCGUCAGUAAAGCUGGUUCUGUGAUUAGCGCUUAAUGUCCAGAGCCGUAGUUCGCUGGACGCAAUAUCACGUUCAUAACCGCAUGCGAUUCAUCUGCGAUUAUGAACGCGAUAUUGCGCCGCUUGUCAGCAAACUACGGCUCGGUCUAUUAAGUGCAGCUACAUUUGAAAGCAUCUCCUUCUGACAGAGACAGAUCUAGAUUCAGUGGUAGCAGAGAUCAAUAUAUCAAAGAAAAUACAGAAGUGAUCAGAUAGUGCUACGUCCUUAAUAACAAUGGGUGAGAUGUUUAGAGCCCUACUGAUGAUUAAAUCUAGAGUGUGUCCACCCUUGUGUGUGGGUCCAUGCACAUGCUGAAUCAGGUCAAAAGUGUUUAGAACCGUUAUCAUUUCUUUUUGUAGUUUUUGUUUUCUGCAUUAUCUAUGUGAAUAUUAAAAUCCCCUGCAAUAGCAAAACAGUCAAACUCUGAGGAAAUCAUUGAUAACAUUUCUGUGACCUCUUCAACAAAGGCUGGAGAGUAUUUUGGAGGCCUGUAAAUAAUGAUAAACAGAAUGCAUGGAGCACCUUUCAGCACAAUUCCUAGAUAUUCAAAAGACAAGUACUGACCAAAUGACACUUGCUUGCAUUGAUAGACAUCUUUAAAUAGAGCAGCUACACCUCCACCUCUCCUAACAGUCCUGCACACACUCAUGAAAGUAAAGUUAGGAGGGGUGCUUCAUUGAGGACUGUUGUACUGCAGCUGUCUUCUAGCCAUGUUUCAUUUAGAAACAUAAAAUCCAGAUUGUUUGUGGUUAUAAAGUCAUUGAUUAGAAAAUGAUUAAUUUUUUAGUGAGCGAAUGUUUAAAGAUGCUAACUUGAUGGCAGUGAUUUAUGUCAUUACAUCAAUUUUUAGUUUGAUGCAUAAUAGGCUGCAGAUUAGAUGAGUUUGCCCUUCGGCUUGAGAUGGACUUAAACUUUCUGUCACAUGAUAAAACUGAAAUAGAGAAAGCUACAGGCACACUGGGUUCCCGCUUGUUCUGUAAACAUUUGUGAAUGUUGCUGCUAUUAUAGCGGGGACCCGACACAUAUCACUGAGAGCUGCUAUCAGCUGUUUUUGGCUCACCUACAGCAGAUGGAGGGUUGGGGCCCUGGCAUUGUGGCAGCGGUCGGAGAGCUCUCACAGGAGCAGGGCCCACAGGCUUUGGUGUUUGGGGGCCUGCUGUUUUCUUGUUGAUAUCUGCGGGCUUGCAACGAAUGAGUGUGAGAGUUUAGUCCCAGCAUACACCAAUUCUACCAUUUUUCUGUGAAAAGCACAGAAGUGGAGAUGCUGGAGAGAGGGAUAAUGUGUCUGGUGAGCGGGGCUGUGUCUCUGGUGUUUCCGGUGACUGUGAUAUGUUGUCUUGGCUUCCCGGCUGUCUUCCAGAAAGUCAUCCUUGAGUGCUGAGUCUUGUAGCUGUUUUGAUACAUCACAGUCUGUCUGUGAGGAGCUCUGAGGGCAGGGCUCGGCCGGGAUGGUGUCCAUCAGCAGUGCUUAUUGUGGCUGCAUGGUGUUAUCAGUUGGGAGUGGUCCACUGAUGAACUUUGAGUCUUCAAAGUGUUUGAAAAAGGUUCACUAAAGUCCUUCUUAAGGGGUUCUGACUGCUCUUUC
This is a long non-coding RNA of Cyprinus carpio carpio, 3147 nucleotides long. The record is from Ensembl. NCBI's taxonomy places the organism in Eukaryota, Metazoa, Chordata, Actinopteri, Cypriniformes, Cyprinidae.